Long non-coding RNA from Rosa chinensis, 2880 nucleotides. RefSeq lists it as uncharacterized. Lineage: Eukaryota; Viridiplantae; Streptophyta; Magnoliopsida; Rosales; Rosaceae. The record is from RefSeq and is a predicted model, not a curated record. The transcript has 4 exons.
GAUUUUGUUAUGUGUCCCCAAAACUGAAAAAAAGGCACACUUGUGCUCAUAUGUGUCUAUUGACCUACAUAUGUGUCCCCAAAACUGAUAAAAAGGCACACUUGUUCUCAUAUGUGCCUACUGAAAAUUUUAGGCACACAAUAAGUGUCCCCAUCCAAAAACAAAGCAGACCAAUUCAUACGAAUACGUCUUUUUUUUAUUUAGAAUGCCUGCGAAUACGUCCUCUCACUAAACUCAUAUCACAUACGCGCACUCUCUCUCUCUCUCUCUCUCUCUUUCUCUCAGAUCUGCUGCUACCCUCUCCAGCAAAGACUAACGGUAGUCUCAGCGGCGACCACCCAUGACUCCUCCUCCAGAUUCGUAUAACCACCGACAGUUGUUGCCCUCUCUCGCUCUGUCAAUAUCUUUUGAAACUAAAACACCCAUAUGGAGACUUGUCCCCAAAAGUGUCUCAAUUUGCCAUAUCUUUAUCGAACCACAGUCCCACUCUGUUCUUCUCAAAGCGUUUCGGUAGGGUAUUUGGUGCUGGGCAAUGGCAAUGUUUAAGAAUGAAAGACUGAUUCGGCGCCAUCGACCACAUCAGUUGCAAAACACGUGGUCAGAAUGCGUUUAAUUGCCCGGGUCAUUUUGGUUAAAUUGACAUCGUUUUGCUCGUCUAUAUUCCCUUGUUGUUCAGUGUUCUUUACAAACUUCUACAGAGAACCUGCUUCUUCUGUCACCAUUUUCGAACAAGCCAAGAGCUGGUAAGUGAAGCUUGGUAGAGUAAAAUUAGCGCUUUAUGGGCUUAGUUUGUUGCUUUAAGAAGUUUAUGCCUUUCUCGUUGACGUUCUAAUUUCUGUACUUUUUUUGGGUAGUUUAAAGUUGAAAAAUGUCCUUUGGCCUUACAUUUAAGUAAUGUCCUUUGGAACUCGUGAUGAAAGGUGAUGUUGCAUUGGUAAUAUCUUCUUGUUUCAGAUGGUUGCAUUGGUUUUAUCUUCUUGGUGAUGUUGCCUGACCAGAUUAUUCAACCAGAUAUUACCAAAUUGGAACACGUGAUGAAAGGUGAUGUUGUGGGGGAAUGAUAGAGAUUUUGCAAAUAUCUUGUUUCAGAUAGUUGCAUAAAAUAUCUUGUUUCAGAUAGUUGCAUGGUAAUAUCUGGUUGAAUCUAGUUAGGCAACAAACAUGUUCAGUGCUUAAUGCUUCUUUCGAUUCCACUUCUAUGAAUCAUUCUGUCACUUUAAAUAAGCAAAUAUUUUUGACUUUGAUUUGAAGGUUGUUUUAGACACCUAGAAGUCACUUACAAUUGUGCUACUAUCAUGCAACUUUUUUCUUGGCUCAUUAGCCUUUGCUUAUUUAGCACAGAUGGGGUGGGGAGAGGGUAGAGGCCAUAGGUUUACAUCUUCAUGUGAAAAAGAAGAAAGUAGUAUUUUAAAGAUUAAAAGAGAAGGAAAAAAAUCCAGCUUUUGUUCUUAAUGGCCCAUAGAUUACUUUGUUAAUAUUCCUCUUACCUUUCUAUCUCUGUUUUUUUCCUUCCUUUAUUUCUAGGCAUUUAGGAAACAUUCUCUAGGGUUUUCUUAUUUAGCACAGUGACAGACGCCUCAGGAUUAUGAUGUUCUUAGUAUAUGUAUUGUUUAUGUAUAUGUACCUGAUGUUCUUAGGUAGGAAGAUAUCUACUAUUUAUGUAUAUGUAUUGUAUUUAAUCUUUAAAACCCAUAGACUAGUCUAUAUAUAUCCUAUAUUUUCGUUUGCAUUGCUGGGUACUGGAUUUAUUAUUAGUUAUUCUUUUUUAUUGGUUGAUGGUUGUAGACUGGUGCCGGCAAUGCUAGAGAAAAUGUUAUCAGAAGAUGCAGGUAAUCUCAGCCUGGUGGAUUUGGGAGUGUUCACUGAUACCAAAUUCUUUCUCAAUUUCAUAUAUGUUCUCCUAAUGAUAUUAUUAUUACUCUCUUAAAUCUAGAACAUGCCUUUCAUGUCAACAAAAGACCUGAGCAUGAACUAAUCAUAACUUUGGCAUAUAUUAGAUCUCUGUUAUACAUAACUUAAUUUACUGUAAUGGUGAUGGUGUUGGCAAUUCAUGGGGCAGUAACUUAUGUUUUGAGGGAAUAAAGCAAGCCUUGGUACUUAGAAUUAAUUACUAAACUGUACAGAGACAUUGAUGAAUAAGCAUGACUUAGUUUUGUAAAGUUUUAGACCAUCAGUUUACCCUUCACUUCGAUCUUCUCUCCCUUCCCUGUUCUUUUCUUUGGGUUUGCUGCCAGAUUUCAUGAUUAGAUUGCAAACUUUAGAUUAUUGUUUAUGUAGAAUUUAUAAUGCUGAUACUGUGCUAGCUCUUCUACAGAAUUAUAUCAACUUGCCUCUUUCUAUUGCUUCAGGUCAUAAAAGAUGUCUCACUUUUAUCUAGGUGGAUAACUAUUGAUCUAUAUAUUCGACAAGUUGAUAGCAUGAAAUUUGAACUAUCCAUGAAUAGGUGCAGCGAUAGCUUGUCAAAACUGGAGCAAGUUGCUUGCCCAUUUUGUGGUGUUUCAGUCUAUGAUAGGUCACUGCUCAGGUGCUUUUGGGGGUUUGGAAGCUAAUGGUAGAGUGAAAUCCAUACAACCAGGAUGGCUCCAUCAUUCCCUAAACCAAUCUGCUUUGAUCAUAUAAUUCACAUACUUGUGCAGUUUGCUGGUCUGCUACAAUCUCUAUUCAGGAAGUAUGUGUAUAAAGGUAGUUGAUUUCAUAUUGGAGCGGGUCGGACUGUUGGACCAAGUGCUGCUGAAGUACUUAGCCUUUUCAUGUAUUAAUGAUCCACUGAAUUGUAGUUUCGUAGUUGGAUAUGGUAACUUAUUCUAUUGUAACAUUGAAAUACUUAUUCAUUAAUCGGAUUGCGAUUACUGUUUUUAUUCUUUGAUAUGGUUUCUACUG